Molecule: long non-coding RNA, 1212 nt
Organism: Gorilla gorilla gorilla (western lowland gorilla)
Lineage: Eukaryota; Metazoa; Chordata; Mammalia; Primates; Hominidae
Exons: 5
Source: RefSeq, a predicted model, not a curated record
GCACGUUGAGAGGAGCGCACGUUGAGAGGAGCGCACGUUGAGAGGAGCGCACGUUGAGAGGAGCGCACGUUGAGAGGAGCGCACGUUGAGAGGAGCGCACGUUGAGAGGAGCGCACGUUGAGAGGAGCGCACGUUGAGAGGAGCGCACCGGAGAAAGAACACACAAGCUGCUGGACAGUGAGAGGAACACACUGGCGGAAGAGCACACAGGGAGCUGGAUGUCGCGGGGAGCGGAAGAGCACAGCGACAGGCACUGGUGUCGACCAGAGGAACGACGUGGAGUUUGGCCUGGGAGGUCAGAGAAGAAUUUGGCUGCUGGGCAGCCCCACUAUAGGGGAAAACUACUUUCCCACUCCAUUCCCCUUCUGAUCUCCCCAUCCACCUCGCUGAGAGCUACCACAACUCAAUAAAAAACCUCGCACUCGAUCGCCAAGCCCACAUGUGAUCCAAUUUUUCCCGUGCACUAAAGCAAGAACCUGGGAUACACAAAGCCGUCUGUCCUUGUGAUAAGGCAGAGGGUAUAAUUGAGCUGAUUAACACAAGCCACCUGCGGACAGCUAAGCUGAAAAAGCAUCCUGUAACACACGCCUACGGGGGCCUCAGGAGGUGUAAACAUUCACCCCGAGAGGCUGCAUGGGUCCGCGCCCAUGGUCCCCAUGACUUGCCUGUUUGCCUGCUCUGGCUAAGGGUCUUGACCAGUGGGGCACUGAAGAAGCGAGCCACACCCCCAUCGUACGCCCUGCGAGGAGGGGUCUCACUCAGUGACCCAGGCUGAAUGCAGUGGAACAAUCAUGGCUUACUGUAGCCUUGACCUUGAGGGCUUAAGCAAUCCUGCCACCUCAGCCUGCCUAGUACUGGGACUACAGGUACGCGCCACCACGCCCAGAAAUUGCCACAGUCACCUCAACCUUCAGCAACCACCAACUUGAUCAAUCAGCAGCCAAUAACGUGGAGUCAUGACCAUUCACCAGCAAAAAGUUUAUGAUUCACCAAAAUAUCAGAUGAUCAUUAACAUUUUUAGCAAUAAUGUAUUUGUCAUUAAGGUGUUAGUGCAUUGGAAAAUCAUUGAAAGAAUGUAUCAGCUAAUUGAAGGCUUAAGUACAGAGAGUCUGGUUGUGUUGCCCAGGUUGGAGUACAGUGACACCAUCUAGGCUCACUGCAACAUCAGCCUCCCGGGUUCCAGAGAUUAUUGUAUAUCAGCCUCCCAAGUAG